GGCAGCACAGAGUUGGAAGAUGAAUGCACACAUGUGUGGCCAGAGCAGGGUCAAUGCUGUGGUAACCACCAAGACACGGGAGCUCCCCUUGUCCAGAGAAAAGGGAGGGCAGGGCCAGAAGAGCAGUUCUCCAGGCCCAGAAGUAAGCUACACCCACAGUUCUGUAUGCAGCUGUGAGAAAGGAGAGUGGAAAUCCAAGUCAAUGCAGUAUCACCGUGUUCCCAAUCACGAGUAUUCCACUGGGCCCACUGGCUGCCAAGACAUGGAUGGGAUCCAGUGAUGAGCGCCCUGGAAUUCCAUGGAAGACAGCACAAAACCAAUAAAACCACUGGUGUUCAGUUA
Long non-coding RNA from Pan troglodytes (chimpanzee), 342 nucleotides. RefSeq lists it as uncharacterized. The transcript has 2 exons. The record is from RefSeq and is a predicted model, not a curated record. NCBI's taxonomy places the organism in Eukaryota, Metazoa, Chordata, Mammalia, Primates, Hominidae.